GGUUCAAUUCCCGUCGUUCGCCGCGGAUGUAGCCAAGUGGAUCAAGGCAGUGGAUUGUGAAUCCACCAUGCGCG
RNAcentral lists this transfer RNA (74 nucleotides) under Aglaonema commutatum. RNAcentral's name for it is "tRNA-His". The stretch from base 23 to 74 matches the Rfam family "tRNA", at positions 1 to 49 of the family's 71-position model. From Rfam's summary of the family: Transfer RNA (tRNA) molecules are approximately 80 nucleotides in length. Lineage: Eukaryota; Viridiplantae; Streptophyta; Magnoliopsida; Alismatales; Araceae. The record is from RNAcentral. RNAcentral also lists the same sequence under 1 other name.